UAUAAGUCUCCACCGCCACCUUCGCCUUCGCCACCACCUCCUUAUGUGUAUAAAUCCCCACCACCUCCGGUGCAUUCUCCUCCACCACCCCCAAUGCAUUCUCCUCCACCACCGUAUGAGUACAAAUCACCACCACCCCCGGUGCACUCACCACCUCCUCCGUAUGAGUAUAAAUCACCACCACCCCCGGUGCAUUCUCCUCCUCCGCCCUAUGAGUACAAGUCACCACCACCUCCGGUGCACUCACCACCUCCUCCAUAUGAGUACAAAUCACCACCACCUCCGGUGCAUUCUCCACCUCCACCAUAUGAGUAUAAAUCACCACCACCACCUUCACCAUCCCCACCACCACCAUAUGUGUACAAGUCUCCACCACCACCCGUCAAAUCCCCACCUCCACCAUACCACUACUCAUCACCACCACCACCCGUAAAAUCCCCACCUCCACCAUACCACUACUCCUCCCCACCACCACCUGUAAAAUCACCUCCUCCACCUUAUCAUUACUCAUCUCCACCACCACCAGUCAAAUCCCCACCACCACCAUACCACUACUCAUCACCUCCACCACCCGUAAAAUCACCACCUCCACCAUACUACUACAAGUCCCCACCACCUCCAGUUAAAUCCCCACCACCACCAUACUACUACCAUUCUCCUCCUCCCCCAGUGAAGUCACCACCUCCACCAUACCACUACAACUCUCCUCCACCACCCAAGCAUUCUCCACCACCACCUUACUACUACAAGUCUCCACCACCCCCCGUCAAGUCACCACCCCCACCAUACUACUAUCACUCUCCACCACCCCCAAUGAAGUCACCACCCCCACCAUACUACUACAGCUCACCACCACCACCCGUCAAGUCCCCACCACCACCAUACUACUACAGUUCACCACCACCACCGGUGAAAUCCCCGCCACCCCCAUACUACUACACAUCCCCACCACCACCAGUGAAAUCUCCACCACCUCCUUACUAUCCUCACCCUCAUCAUCACUCAUACACCGUGAAGGUAGUAGGAAAGGUUUACUGUUACAGAUGCUACGACUGGAAGUACCCAAUCAAGUCCCAUGCAAAGAUGCAC
Molecule: long non-coding RNA, 1089 nt
Filed under: Daucus carota (carrot)
Lineage: Eukaryota; Viridiplantae; Streptophyta; Magnoliopsida; Apiales; Apiaceae
Description: long non-coding RNA (DCAR_LNC004777)
Source: RNAcentral